GCUAGCAUAUCAAUAAGCGGAGGAAAAGAAACUAACAAGGAUUCCCAUAGUAACUGCGAGUGAAGCGGGAAAAGCUCAAAUUUAAAAUCUGGCGGUCUUGGCCCGUCCGAGUUGUAGUCUGGAGAAGUGCUUUCCGCGCUGGACCGUGUAUAAGUCUCUUGGAACAGAGCGUCAUAGAGGGUGAGAAUCCCGUCUUUGACACGGACUACCAGUGCUUUGUGAUGCGCUCUCAAAGAGUCGAGUUGUUUGGGAAUGCAGCUCAAAAUGGGUGGUGAAUUCCAUCUAAAGCUAAAUAUUGGCGAGAGACCGAUAGCGAACAAGUACCGUGAGGGAAAGAUGAAAAGCACUUUGGAAAGAGAGUUAAACAGUACGUGAAAUUGCUGAAAGGGAAACGCUUGAAGUCAGUCGCGUUGUCCGGAACUCAGCCUUGCUUUUGCUUGGUGCACUUUCCGGAUGACGGGUCAGCAUCGAUUUUGACCGUCGGAAAAGGGCUGGAGUAAUGUGGCACCUCCGGGUGUGUUAUAGACUCUGGUCGCAUACGGCGGUUGGGAUCGAGGAACGCAGCGCGCCGCAAGGCAGGGGUUCGCCCACUUUCGCGCUUAGGAUGCUGGCAUAAUGGCUUUAAACGACCCGUCUUGAAACACGGACCAAGGAGUCUAACAUACCUGCGAGUGUUUGGGUGGAAAACCCGAGCGCGUAAUGAAAGUGAAAGUUGAGAUCCCUGUCGUGGGGAGCAUCGACGCCCGGACCAGACGUUCUCUGACGGAUCCGCGGUAGAGCAUGUAUGUUGGGACCCGAAAGAUGGUGAACUAUGCCUGAAUAGGGUGAAGCCAGAGGAAACUCUGGUGGAGGCUCGUAGCGAUUCUGACGUGCAAAUCGAUCGUCAAAUUUGGGUAUAGGGGCGAAAGACUAUCGAACCAUCUAGUAGCUGGUUCUGCCGAGUCUCCUCUCCGGGGGUU
This 959-nucleotide ribosomal RNA is filed under the name Fomes sp. RNAcentral describes it as "partial large subunit ribosomal RNA". It matches the Rfam family "Eukaryotic large subunit ribosomal RNA", at positions 33 to 982 of the family's 3401-position model. Lineage: Eukaryota; Fungi; Basidiomycota; Agaricomycetes; Polyporales; Polyporaceae. The record is from RNAcentral.